UAAAAACAUCAAUAAGCUCUUACGCUGAUUUGCAGAAUGAAAAAUGAAGAAAUUAAAUGCAGUUAAGUUUUAAUUUGUAAUAGAAACACAUUAGAAUGGUCAGGAGAUGUUCUACAAAUGUGAUAUGCAAGUCAGCGUAUCAGCUUAUUGAUGUUUUUAGAAUGAUUUAUGAUUAUUUUGAUAAUUUUCCUGGUGUGAACUUGGCUGUAGAAAACGAGAAUGGUGUGCGCAUCGAUUGUCUGGUCAACUGUAAUUUUCAUGGGCCAGCACCAUCGACAUCCAAUUUGUGACGUCUGGCCACUUGACGUUUAUUUCCCUGAAUUUGCAAAUUAUUGUUAGGGUUUAUUUUUAAUAAAAUGAGUGAAAAACGGGUGGUCAUAUUCAGGAACGGAACGAACACGCAUGGAAAAGUUUUCGCACUUCCUCAAACCUUGGAAGAGUUAAUGAGCCAGGAGUAUUUAAGGUUUAACUCGAAAGUCCGUCGUUUGUUGUUAAGGUGCACACGAAACACGAUCUAAGCGUAAUUUAACUGAAUAUGCCAAAUUAAAUCUGGUGGACGAUUAAAGUAAAAAAAUGGCUUAGUUGUGAAGUGAAGUGCCGACGCGUUUUCCGUGAGAGAUUGAAGAUCAUACAAAUUAACUAUAAUAAAGCAUUGGGAAGAGAAGCUUGCAGUUUUUGAGUAUGUGGUUUAUGAAUGAUGGAAUGAACGAAACAUGGCAUAAACAUGAACUAAUUAAUGAUUUUGUUAAGACUGAAGUUGAAGUGUGCGAUCAAGAGGGGGUUGUUACACGUGACAGUAUUGUACAGACUAUCGAAUUACGAGACAGGAGUAAGCAACGAGGGUGUUCGAAAGAAUACAGUAUUGUAAUUGGGCGUAAAAGAAAAAAUAAAGGAAAAAUAAGGUCUUUUAUGUACCACCUAUGAUGUGAUAUUUUAUUGUUAUUUUUAUUAUUUUCAAUUUUUUGUGAUUAAAAAAUUUCUAUAAAAAAUUAACUUUA
This is a long non-coding RNA of Tribolium castaneum (red flour beetle), 998 nucleotides long. RefSeq lists it as uncharacterized. Lineage: Eukaryota; Metazoa; Arthropoda; Insecta; Coleoptera; Tenebrionidae. The record is from RefSeq and is a predicted model, not a curated record. The transcript is spliced from 3 exons.